GAUGAACGCUGGCGGCGUGCCUAAUACAUGCAAGUCGAGCGAACAGACGAGGAGCUUGCUCCUCUGACGUUAGCGGCGGACGGGUGAGUAACACGUGGAUAACCUACCUAUAAGACUGGGAUAACUUCGGGAAACCGGAGCUAAUACCGGAUAAUAUAUUGAACCGCAUGGUUCAAUAGUGAAAGACGGUUUUGCUGUCACUUAUAGAUGGAUCCGCGCCGCAUUAGCUAGUUGGUAAGGUAACGGCUUACCAAGGCGACGAUGCGUAGCAGACCUGAGAGGGUGAUCGGCCACACUGGAACUGAGACACGGUCCAGGUUCCUACGGGAGGCAGCAGUAGGGAAUCUUCCGCAAUGGGCGAAAGCCUGACGGAGCAACGCCGCGUGAGUGACGAAGGUUUUCGGAUCUUAAGACUCUGUGAUUAGGGAAGAACAAAUGUGUAAGUAACUAUGCACGUCUUGACGGUACCUAAUCAGAAAGCCACGGCUAACUACGUG
RNAcentral lists this ribosomal RNA (497 nucleotides) under uncultured bacterium. Its description in RNAcentral is "partial 16S ribosomal RNA". It matches the Rfam family "Bacterial small subunit ribosomal RNA", at positions 28 to 507 of the family's 1533-position model. The record is from RNAcentral.